This 61-nucleotide microRNA precursor is filed under the name Cordylochernes scorpioides. Lineage: Eukaryota; Metazoa; Arthropoda; Arachnida; Pseudoscorpiones; Chernetidae. The record is from RNAcentral.
GGCCAGCAGCAGCUCGGCUUCUGAGAACGGUGGGUCGUUAUCAGAGGUGGACUGCACGGCC